Molecule: unclassified non-coding RNA, 382 nt
Filed under: soil metagenome
Description: partial contains 5.8S ribosomal RNA, internal transcribed spacer 2, and large subunit ribosomal RNA
Rfam family: 5.8S ribosomal RNA (bases 1-120)
Source: RNAcentral
GAUGAAGAACGUAGCGAAAUGCGAUAAGUAAUGUGAAUUGCAGAAUUCAGUGAAUCAUCGAAUCUUUGAACGCACCUUGCACCCUUUGGCAUUCCGAAGGGUAUGCUCGUUUGAGUGUCAUUGUACUCUCACACUACUGAUCCUUUGGAUUGGGAGCGGUGGACUUGGGUGUUGCUGCUUUACUGUGGCUCACCUCAAAUGCAUUCGUGCAACUCUUGGUUGGACAUAGUACGGCGUGAUAAGUAUCUUCGCCGGCACCUCGCAAGAGGGUGGCUGAUCAGGAGCUCUGUGCUUUCCAACUGUCUUCAGACAACAACUGACAACUUGACCUCAAAUCGAGUAGGACCACCCGCUGAACUUAAGCAUAUCAAUAAGCGGAGGA